AGCGUAUAUUAAAGUUGUUGCAGUUAAAAAAGCUCAUAGUUGAAUUUCGGGAUUAGCACGAUGGUCGUGCCUUCGGUACGUACUGGUGUUACUGAUUCCUACCUUCUGACGAACCAUCAUGUCAUUAAUUUGGUGUGGCGGGAAAUCAUGACUGUUACUUUGAAAAAAUUAGAGUGUUUAAAGCAGGCUCGCGCUUGAAUACAUUAGCAUGGAAUAAUGAAAUAGGACGUUGAUCCUAUUUUGUUGGUUUCUAGAAUUGACGUAAUGAUUAAUAGGGAUAGUUGGGGGCAUUAGUAUUCAAUUGUCAGAGGUGAAAUUCUUGGAUUUAUUGAAGACUAACUACUGCGAAAGCAUUUGCCAAGGAUGUUUUCAUUAAUCAAGAACGAAAGUUAGGGGAUCGAAGACGAUCAGAUACCGUCGUAGUCUUAACCAUAAAC
Molecule: ribosomal RNA, 437 nt
Filed under: uncultured Glomeromycotina
Lineage: Eukaryota; Fungi; Glomeromycota
Description: SSU rRNA
Rfam family: Eukaryotic small subunit ribosomal RNA
Source: RNAcentral